GUGGGUUUGGGGUUUAGGGGAACGAUAUAUGUGGGGUUGGGAAUGAUCUGUGUGGGGUUGGGGUUUAGGGGAAUGGUUUUUGUGGGGGUUGGGAUUUAGGGAAAUAAUCUGUGUGGGGUUGGGAAUGAUCUGUGUGGAAUUGGGGUUUAUGGGAAUGCUCCAUGUGGGGUUGGGGUUUAGGGAGCUCAGCUGCCCGAGAGGAGGGGCAGAGCCAAGCCCAGGGUGUCCCUGCAGCCUCUGGACGCCAGAGCCCCUCCCAAGCAGCCCCUGAAGAGGAAGGGCCCCGAGUGCCCCCCGACUGUGGUGGCAGUGAAGCCUCUCAGUGCCACCAGCGGGCACAGCCCGGGCUGCCCAGCCAAGGUGAGGCCCCAAAUCCCCCCAAAAAACCCUGGAAAAUUGAAAUGUUCUCCAUUUCAGCAAUGCCCUUUUCACCCCACGGCUCUCAGGGGCAGCACAUUCCUGCUUUGGAGGCAUCUCCAAAAUUCCCUGCUGGGAUUUGGGAAUAUUUUGUCCUUUCCAAGGCAGAAAUUCCUUAA
RNAcentral lists this long non-coding RNA (536 nucleotides) under Zonotrichia albicollis (white-throated sparrow). RNAcentral describes it as "lncRNA (ENSZALG00000008041.1)". Lineage: Eukaryota; Metazoa; Chordata; Aves; Passeriformes; Passerellidae. The record is from RNAcentral.